Molecule: long non-coding RNA, 2151 nt
Filed under: Macaca fascicularis (crab-eating macaque)
Lineage: Eukaryota; Metazoa; Chordata; Mammalia; Primates; Cercopithecidae
Description: lncRNA (ENSMFAG00000064224.1)
Source: RNAcentral
CCCUUUUGAGGAGGUGAGGGUGUAUGGGGAGGCAACCUGGGGCUGAAGCAGAGGGAAGCUGGAGAGGCUGGAGGAGAGGCCCUGGGUCCAGCAAGUGCUCCACCAGGCUGCCCCUGCUCAGGUGCUCCACAGCCCAUAAAAAACACCUUCAGCCCUACUGCACCUCCCCUCACACCUAAACUUACUAAAAGGGUCCUACUAAGGGAAGAGACCACCCCUCAUAUUGUCUUAUGCCCAAUUUCUGCCUCCAAAGAAAGAAGUAAAAACUGAAAGGCAGAAAUGAAAUCCACAGGCAGACAGCCCGGCGUGGCACCCUGGGCCUGGUAAAGAUCGACCCCUGACCUAAUUGGUUAUGUUAUCUAUAGAUUACAGACACUGUAUAGAAAAGCACUGUGAAAAUCCCUGUCCUGUUCUGAUCUGAUUACCGGUGCAUGCAGCCCCCAGUUACGUACCCCCUGCUUGCUCAAUCGAUCACGACCCUCUCACAUGGACCCCCUCAGAGUUGUGAGCCCUUAAAAGGGACAGGAAUUGCUCACUCGGGGAGCUCAGUUGUUGGAGAUGUAAGUCUUGCCGAAGCUCCCAGCUGAAUAAAGCCCUUCCUUCUUUAACUCGGUGUCUGAGGAGUUUUGUCUGCAGUUUGUCCUGCUACAUUUCUUGUUUCCCUGACCGGGAAGAGAGGCGAUUGGCGGAUGGUCAAGGCAGCUCCUUAGACGGCUUAAGCCUGCCCUGUGGAAAAUCCCUGCGGGGGACUCCGACCAGCUCGAGUGACGCGGAUCCUGAGAGCGUUCCUGGGUAGGCGUUUGCCCCGGUGGGACGCCUCGUCAGAGCAGUGCGUGGCAGGCCCCCGUGGAGGAUCAACACAGUGGCUGAACACCGGGAAGGAAUGGGCACUUGGAGUCUAGACAUCGAAAACUUGGUAAGACUGGUCUUUGGAACUUGCCUACUCCAUUUGAGUGGACGCGUGGCCUGAUCACCCAUGGCGUGCCUUUAUCGGCACUUUGGUUUUGGUUUUGGUUUUGACUUGGUUUGAACUGCUUGACGGGACCAGUCUUGGGAACUUGCCCACUCCACUUGAGUGGAAGCGUGGCCUGAUCACCCAUGGUGUGCCUUUAUCAGCACUUUGGUUUUGGUUUUUGACUUGACUUGGAUUGCUUGAUACUUUGGUUUUGGUUUUGACCUGGCUUCGAUUUCCUGACACUCUGAUUUUGGUUUUGAUUCUGGUUUGGCAUAAACUGUAAAAGUGUGUGUGUGCCCUUUUUACCUGUUCUUUGUUUUCUGGUGUCAGUAUGGUGUUUUGUCUCGAGGAGACAUGGGUGAGGCACAAAGUAAGCCCACCCCACUAGGAACUAUGUUGAAAAUUUUCAAGAAAGGAUGUAAGGGAGACUAUGGAGUACUAUGACACCAGGAAAACUUAAAACUUUGUGUAAGAUAGACUGGCCAGCAUUACAGGUGGGUUGGCCAUCAGAAGGAAGCCUGGACAGGUCCCUUGUUUCAAAGGUAUAACACAAAGUAACCUGUAAGCCAGGGCACCCAGACCAGUUCCCGUACAUAGACACUUGGUUACAGCUGGUUUUAGACCCCUCCCACAGAGGUUGAGAGAACAGCAGCAUAAGCAGCUGGCAGAGGCAAGGAAAGACCAGCAGAGAGAGAGAGAGGAGAGAGAGAGGAGAAGAGGCAAAGAGAGAGAGGAAGAGACAGAGAGACAGAGGGAGACAAGGAGACAGAGAGAGAGGAAGAGACAGAGGCAAAAGGAAAGUCAAAGAGAGACAAAGUCAAAGAGAAAAAGAAUAAAGAGAGACAGAUAUACAAGUAGUUAAGAAAAUACAGUGUACCCUAUUCCUUUAAAAGCCAAGAUAAAUUUAAAACCUGUAAUUGAUAAUCCAAGGUAUUCUCUGUAACCCUGUAACACUUCAAUACCACUUUGUUGUCAGUGUAAACAAGGGCAUAUCCCGAAAGCACUGAGGCCACUGAUAACCUGUAGCCUUCAGAUCAAAAAUCCUUAACCCAGUAACCCGCGGAUGGCCCAAAUGCAUUCAAUCUGCAGCGGCAACUGCUUUGCUAACAUAAAAAAGUAGAAAAAUAACUUUUAGAGGAAACCUCAUUGUGAACACACCUCACUAGUUCGGUUCAGAACUAUCCUAAAUCAAAAAA